GCCCCCGUAGCUCAAUGGAUAGAGCACCGGACUUCUAAUCCGACGGUUCCGCGUUCGAAUCGCGGCGGGGGCG
This 73-nucleotide transfer RNA is filed under the name Anaerolineales bacterium. RNAcentral describes it as "tRNA-Arg". It matches the Rfam family "tRNA". From Rfam's summary of the family: Transfer RNA (tRNA) molecules are approximately 80 nucleotides in length. Their secondary structure includes four short double-helical elements and three loops (D, anti-codon, and T loops). The record is from RNAcentral. Lineage: Bacteria; Bacillati; Chloroflexota; Anaerolineae; Anaerolineales.